Drosophila navojoa is the source of this 491-nucleotide long non-coding RNA. NCBI's taxonomy places the organism in Eukaryota, Metazoa, Arthropoda, Insecta, Diptera, Drosophilidae. The record is from RefSeq and is a predicted model, not a curated record.
GAGUGUGUUGAGUCUGUGUGUGUGUGUGUGUGUGUGUGUGAAGUGACCGAGCGAGGCUUGGACCUAUUAAUUAGAUAACUAUCUUGAGAAAUUGCCCAUUUUCAAAUAGUCGGCGAGCAUUUGUGUAAUUAGAUUUGCUUUUCACAACAUUUACGUUUGUUCGGGUCGGACGUUGAUUGCAUUUGGCGGCUGGCGGCCGACGACUCAAAUAACCUGAGCGAUUAAUCAUGGCAAGACUCGAGCCAACAGCAACAACAACAACAACAACAACUACUACUACUACUACUGAACUUAACUCCAGACAUCUGCCGUAUGCACAUAUGUCGUGUUGGACUUUCACUCGACCCUAAUUUAGGCGCCCAGGCUGACCAAGUUGAUUUCCGUAUUGCCUUGAGUCGAAGACGGAAAUGAGCCACCGCAAUCGUCAAUCAUCAAUCGAUAACCAUCGCUGCUGCAUCGUGUAAAAGGAAACUUUUAAAUGAAGAAGAAGA